AUGGUUACGUUACUAAGGGCACACGGUGGAUGCCUUGGCUGCCGAACCGAUGA
Molecule: ribosomal RNA, 53 nt
Filed under: Trueperaceae bacterium
Lineage: Bacteria; Thermotogati; Deinococcota; Deinococci; Trueperales; Trueperaceae
Description: partial 23S ribosomal RNA
Source: RNAcentral